AUGGCGACCGACGCGAUCCUGGAGACCAUCAAGCCUCGGCGGAGCCCGUGGCUGGAGGACCUCCCGGUGACGAAUGGGGGCGCAGCGAAGGGCGGCAAGGUGGACCUGUCCGGGAUGCGCCGGCGCGUGUCGUCGUCCUUGUCACUGAGCCUCCAGCCGCUGUCCUCGUCGUCGUCCGCGGCGUUCCGGCGCGCGCGGUCGAUGCCGUCGAUCAAGGCGCUGGCGGCGGCGGGCGCGGUGCGGCAGUGGUGGGAGUGGGGGCUCGGUUGGGUGAUGACCCGGAAGCCCUCCUUCGCGCGUGGCCUCGAGAUGAGCGAGGACGAGGCCGCCCUGCUCGGGUGCCACUGCCGCGGCACGCUCCGGCACGUCUUCUACAAGGCACGCGCCGAGGUGCGCCGCCUCCUCGGCCGCGACGGCCGCCCGCUCGGGGGCGUCGCGGCGCAGGACUUCAGGUACGACUCCGUCAGCUACGCUCAGAACUUCGACAACGGCGACGUCGACGCCAGAUGCUAG
RNAcentral lists this ribosomal RNA (513 nucleotides) under Triticum aestivum (bread wheat). RNAcentral describes it as "partial small subunit ribosomal RNA". The record is from RNAcentral. Lineage: Eukaryota; Viridiplantae; Streptophyta; Magnoliopsida; Poales; Poaceae.